GUGAGGAAUUUUCCGCAAUGGGCGAAAGUCUGACGGAGCAAUGCCGCGUGAAGGAUGAAGGCCUAUGGGUUGUAAACUUCUUUUCUCAGAAAAGAAUUAUGACGGUAUCUGAGGAAUAAGCAUCGGCUAACUCUGUGCCAGCAGCCGCGGUAAGACAGAGGAUGCAAGCGUUAUCCGGCAUGAUUGGGCGUAAAGCGUCUGUAGGUUGUUUAAAAAGUAUUCUGUCAAAGAUUAGGGCUUAACCCUAGAUAAGCAGAAUAAACUUUUAAGCUAGAGUUUGGUAGAGGCAGAGGGAAUUCCCGGUGGAGCGGUGAAAUGCGUAGAUAUCGGGAGGAACACCAAAGGCGAAGGCACUCUGCUGGGCCAAUACUAACACUGAGAGACGAAAGCGAGGGGAGCAAAUGGGAUUAGAAACCCCAGUAGUCC
RNAcentral lists this ribosomal RNA (426 nucleotides) under uncultured bacterium. RNAcentral's name for it is "partial 16S ribosomal RNA". It matches the Rfam family "Bacterial small subunit ribosomal RNA", at positions 354 to 796 of the family's 1533-position model. The record is from RNAcentral.